CAAUAGCGUAUAUUAAAGUUGUUGCGGUAAAAAAGCUCGUAGUUGGAUUUCUGUUGAGAGCGACCGGUCCAUACCAUGUAUGCGUAUCUGGCUUGCUCUCGGCAUCCUCUCGAUAGACGUUACUGCGCUUGAUUGCGUGGUGCGGAUCUCGGGACUUUUACUUUGAGGAGAUUAGAGUGUUCACGGCAGGCUUUCGCCAGAAUACAUUAGCAUGGAAUAAUACUAUAGGAUCUUGGUUCUAUUUUGUUGGUUUCUAGAAUUGAGAUAAUGAUUAAUAGGGACAAUUGGGGGCAUUCGUAUCAACACGUCAGAGGUGGAAUUCUUGGAUUGUGUUGCGACGAACUACUGCGAAAGCAUUUGCCAAGGAUGUUUUCAUUGA
RNAcentral lists this ribosomal RNA (379 nucleotides) under uncultured eukaryote. RNAcentral describes it as "partial 18S ribosomal RNA". It matches the Rfam family "Eukaryotic small subunit ribosomal RNA", at positions 592 to 976 of the family's 1831-position model. The record is from RNAcentral.